RNAcentral lists this ribosomal RNA (253 nucleotides) under uncultured bacterium. RNAcentral describes it as "partial 16S ribosomal RNA". It matches the Rfam family "Bacterial small subunit ribosomal RNA", at positions 524 to 776 of the family's 1533-position model. The record is from RNAcentral.
UACAGAGGUCUCAAGCGUUGUUCGGAUUCAUUGGGCGUAAAGGGUGCGUAGGCGGCGCGGUAAGUCGGAUGUGAAAUCUCGGAGCUUAACUUCGAAACUGCAUUCGAUACUGCCGUGCUUGAGGACUGGAGAGGAGGCUGGAAUUUACGGUGUAGCGGUGAAAUGCGUAGAUAUCGUAAGGAAGACCAGUGGCGAAGGCGGGUCUCUGGACAGUUCCUGACGCUGAGGCACGAAGGUCAGGGGAGCAAACGGG